GGUAGGGUAGCUUAGUUAAGCGGUGGAUUGUAGCUCCACAGACGGAGGAUAAAACCCUCCCUCUGCCA
This 68-nucleotide transfer RNA is filed under the name Priacanthus macracanthus (red bigeye). RNAcentral's name for it is "tRNA-Tyr". It matches the Rfam family "tRNA". From Rfam's summary of the family: Transfer RNA (tRNA) molecules are approximately 80 nucleotides in length. Their secondary structure includes four short double-helical elements and three loops (D, anti-codon, and T loops). Further hydrogen bonds mediate the characteristic L-shaped molecular structure. tRNAs have two regions of fundamental functional importance: the anti-codon, which is responsible for specific mRNA codon recognition, and the 3' end, to which the tRNAs corresponding amino acid is attached (by aminoacyl-tRNA synthetases). tRNAs cope with the degeneracy of the genetic code in two manners: having more than one tRNA (with a specific anti-codon) for a particular amino acid; and 'wobble' base-pairing, i.e. permitting non-standard base-pairing at the 3rd anti-codon position. The record is from RNAcentral. Lineage: Eukaryota; Metazoa; Chordata; Actinopteri; Priacanthiformes; Priacanthidae.